This 700-nucleotide ribosomal RNA is filed under the name bacterium. RNAcentral describes it as "bacterial SSU rRNA". It matches the Rfam family "Bacterial small subunit ribosomal RNA", at positions 33 to 725 of the family's 1533-position model. The record is from RNAcentral.
GUGCAGGCGGUAGCUACACAUGCAAGUCGAACGGCAGCACAGGAGAGCUUGCUCUCUGGGUGGCGAGUGGCGGACGGGUGAGGAAUACAUCGGAAUCUACCUUUUCGUGGGGGAUAACGUAGGGAAACUUACGCUAAUACCGCAUACGACCUACGGGUGAAAGUGGGGGACCGCAAGGCCUCACGCGAUUAGAUGAGCCGAUGUCCGAUUAGCUAGUUGGCGGGGUAAUGGCCCACCAAGGCGACGAUCGGUAGCUGGUCUGAGAGGAUGAUCAGCCACACUGGAACUGAGACACGGUCCAGACUCCUACGGGAGGCAGCAGUGGGGAAUAUUGGACAAUGGGCGCAAGCCUGAUCCAGCCAUACCGCGUGGGUGAAGAAGGCCUUCGGGUUGUAAAGCCCUUUUGUUGGGAAAGAAAUCCUGUCGAUUAAUACUCGGUGGGGAUGACGGUACCCAAAGAAUAAGCACCGGCUAACUUCGUGCCAGCAGCCGCGGUAAUACGAAGGGUGCAAGCGUUACUCGGAAUUACUGGGCGUAAAGCGUGCGUAGGUGGUGGUUUAAGUCUGCUGUGAAAGCCCUGGGCUCAACCUGGGAAUUGCAGUGGAUACUGGAUCACUAGAGUGUGGUAGAGGGAUGCGGAAUUUCUGGUGUAGCAGUGAAAUGCGUAGAGAUCAGAAGGAACAUCCGUGGCGAAGGCGGC